Sorangium cellulosum is the source of this 222-nucleotide non-coding RNA. The record is from Rfam. Lineage: Bacteria; Pseudomonadati; Myxococcota; Polyangiales; Polyangiaceae.
CAAGUCCUACCCCGGGAGGAGUCCACCCCCGGGAAAGCCAGUCCUUGCGCUGACGUGGGCGACCACGGCGGCGAAGCGUAGGAGGAAGCGCGAGCGGGCCGGGAGAACGAGCCUCGAAAAUGUACACCACGAAGGAGCCGACGCCCUCCCACCAGGCGGAAGGCCAUGCGGGGACGACCAAUGUGGACCGGGGCGGCGCCGUCCUUCCGGGGUCGGAGACCU